UGGGGAAUAUUGGACAAUGGGCGCAAGCCUGAUCCAGCCAUGCCGCGUGAGUGAUGAAGGCCCUAGGGUUGUAAAGCUCUUUCACCGGUGAAGAUAAUGACGGUAACCGGAGAAGAAGCCCCGGCUAACUUCGUGCCAGCAGCCGCGGUAAUACGAAGGGGGCUAGCGUUGUUCGGAUUUACUGGGCGUAAAGCGCACGUAGGCGGACUUUUAAGUCAGGGGUGAAAUCCCGGGGCUCAACCCCGGAACUGCCUUUGUUACUGGAGGUCUUGAGUAUGGUAGAGGUGGGUGGAAUUCCGAGUGUAGAGGUGAAAUUCGUAGAUAUUCGGAGGAACACCAGUGGCGAAGGCGGCUCACUGGACCAUUACUGACGCUGGGGUGCGAAAGCGGGGGGAGCAAACAGG
This 404-nucleotide ribosomal RNA is filed under the name Actinomycetes bacterium. Its description in RNAcentral is "Actinobacteria bacterium partial 16S ribosomal RNA". It matches the Rfam family "Bacterial small subunit ribosomal RNA", at positions 355 to 776 of the family's 1533-position model. Lineage: Bacteria; Bacillati; Actinomycetota; Actinomycetes. The record is from RNAcentral.